RNAcentral lists this ribosomal RNA (403 nucleotides) under uncultured bacterium. RNAcentral describes it as "bacterial SSU rRNA". It matches the Rfam family "Bacterial small subunit ribosomal RNA", at positions 355 to 774 of the family's 1533-position model. The record is from RNAcentral. RNAcentral also lists the same sequence under 1 other name.
UGGGGGAUAUUGCACAAUGGGGGGAACCCUGAUGCAGCGACGCCGCGUGAGGGAAGACGGUCUUCGGAUUGUAAACCUCUGUCUUUAGGGACGAAAAAAUGACGGUACCUAAGGAGGAAGCCACGGCUAACUACGUGCCAGCAGCCGCGGUAAUACGUAGGUGGCAAGCGUUGUCCGGAAUUACUGGGUGUAAAGGGAGCGUAGGCGGGGAGACAAGUUGAAUGUUUAAACUAUCGGCUCAACUGAUAGUCGCGUUCAAAACUAUCACUCUUGAGUGCAGUAGAGGUAGGCGGAAUUCCUAGUGUAGCGGUGAAAUGCGUAGAUAUUAGGAGGAACACCAGUGGCGAAGGCGGCCUACUGGGCUGUAACUGACGCUGAGGCUCGAAAGCGUGGGUAGCAAACA